This 433-nucleotide ribosomal RNA is filed under the name uncultured bacterium. Its description in RNAcentral is "bacterial SSU rRNA". It matches the Rfam family "Bacterial small subunit ribosomal RNA", at positions 29 to 507 of the family's 1533-position model. The record is from RNAcentral.
AACGAACGCUGGCGGCAUGCCUAACACAUGCAAGUCGAACGAGACCUUCGGGUCUAGUGGCGCACGGGUGCGUAACGCGUGGGAAUCUGCCCCUCGGUUCGGAAUAACACAGAGAAAUUUGUGCUAAUACCGGAUAAUGACUUCGGUCCAAAGAUUUAUCGCCGAGGGAUGAGCCCGCGUAAGAUUAGCUUGUUGGUGGGGUAAUGGCCUACCAAGGCGACGAUCUUUAGCUGGUCUGAGAGGAUGAUCAGCCACACUGGGACUGAGACACGGCCCAGACUCCUACGGGAGGCAGCAGUGGGGAAUAUUGGACAAUGGGCGAAAGCCUGAUCCAGCAAUGCCGCGUGAGUGAUGAAGGCCUUAGGGUUGUAAAGCACUUUCGUCCGCGAAGAUAAUGACAGUAACGGAAGAAGAAGCUCCGGCUAAAUUCGUG